UAGAUGGAGCUUGCUCUAUGUACCUUAGCAGCGAACGGGUGAGUAACACGUAGAUAAUCUGUCCUAUAUUGGGGGAUAGCCCGAUGAAAGUUGGAUUAAUACCGCAUACAGCUAUAUAGUUGCAUGAUUAUAUAGUGAAAGAUUUAUUGAUAUAGGAGGAGUCUGCGGCACAUUAGCUAGUAGGUGAGGUAAGAGCUUACCUAGGCGACGAUGUGUAGCCGGUCUGAGAGGAUGAACGGCCACAAUGGAACUGAGACACGGUCCAUACUCCUACGGGAGGCAGCAGUGGGGAAUAUUGCACAAUGGGGGAAACCCUGAUGCAGCAACGCCGCGUGAGUGAAGAAGGUUUUCGGAUUGUAAAGCUCUGUUAGCAGGGAAGAGGAAGGACGGUACCUGCAGAGGAAGCCACGGCUAACUACGUGCCAGCAGCCGCGGUAAUACGUAGGUGGCAAGCGUUGUUCGGAAUAACUGGGCGUAAAGGAUGCGUAGGCGGUUAAAUAAGUUAUAUGUUAAAUAUAUAGGCUUAACCUGUAGAAAGCAUAUAAAACUGUUUAACUAGAGUGCAGGAGAGGUAAGUGGAAUUCCUAGUGUAGCGGUGAAAUGCGUAGAGAUUAGGAAGAACACCAGUGGCGAAGGCGACUUACUGGACUGUAACUGACGCUAAGGCAUGAGAGCAUGGGGAGCAAA
This 687-nucleotide ribosomal RNA is filed under the name uncultured bacterium. Its description in RNAcentral is "bacterial SSU rRNA". It matches the Rfam family "Bacterial small subunit ribosomal RNA", at positions 69 to 772 of the family's 1533-position model. The record is from RNAcentral.